GUGAGCCAGGAAGAGGAAUAGAGACUCUAAGAGCAGUAGGAAUGGGAACAUGAAGGAAAGCCAAACUAAGCUCCAACUCCUGGACUUUGAGAUUUGGUAUGAUGAUUUUCCUGAUGCCUCCCAUUCCUAUAGUUCUUAGGUCCUCGUUCUUCUUACUUUCGGCU
Non-coding RNA from Oryza punctata, 164 nucleotides. The record is from Rfam. NCBI's taxonomy places the organism in Eukaryota, Viridiplantae, Streptophyta, Magnoliopsida, Poales, Poaceae.